Molecule: long non-coding RNA, 1047 nt
Filed under: Salmo salar (Atlantic salmon)
Lineage: Eukaryota; Metazoa; Chordata; Actinopteri; Salmoniformes; Salmonidae
Description: lncRNA (ENSSSAG00000091462.1)
Source: RNAcentral
UUUAUCCAGUCCUAGAAGGCAGUAUACUGCAGUAUUUAUCCAGUCCUAGAAGACAGUAUACUGUAGUGUUUAUCCAGUCCUAGAAAACAGUAUACUGUAGUGUUUAUCCAGUCCUAGAAGGCAGUAUACUGUAGUGUUUAUCCAGUCCUAGAAGGCCGUAUACUGUAGUAUUUAUCCAGUCCUAGAAGACAGUAUACUGUAGUGUUUAUCCAGUCCUAGAAGGCAGUAUACUGCAGUAUAUAUCCAGUCCUAGAAGACAGUAUACUGUAGUGUUUAUCCAGUCCUAGAAGGCAGUAUACUGUAUUGUUUAUCCAGUCCUAGAAGGCAGUAUACUGUAGUGUUUAUCCAGUCCUAGAAGGCAGUAUACUGCAGUAUAUAUCCAGUCCUAGAAGACAGUAUACUGUAGUGUUUAUCCAGUCCUAGAAGACAGUAUACUGUAGUGUUUAUCCAGUCCUAGAAGACAGUAUACUGUAGUGUUUAUCCAGUCCUAGAAGGCAGUAUACUGCAGUAUAUAUCCAGUCCUAGAAGGCAGUAUAGGGUAGUGUUUAUCCAGUCCUAGAAGCAGUAUACUGUAGUGUUUAUCCAGUCCUAGAAGCAGUAUACUGUAGUGUUUAUCCAGUCCUAGAAGACAGUAUACUGUAGUGUUUAUCCAGACCUAGAAGGCAGUAUACUGUAGUGUUUAUCCAGUCCUAGAAGGCAGUAUAGGGUAGUGUUUAUCCAGUCCUAGAAGGCACUAUACUGCAGUAUAUAUCCAGACCUAGAAGGCAGUAUACUGUAGUGUUUAUCCAGUCCUAGAAGGCAGUAUACUGUAGUGUUUAUCCAGUCCUAGAAGGCAGUAUAGGGUAGUGUUUAUCCAGUCCUAGAAGGCACUAUACUGCAGUAUAUAUCCAGUCCUAGAAGGCAGUAUAGGGUAGUGUUUAUCCAGUCCUAGAAGGCACUAUACUGCAGUAUAUAUCCAGUCCUAGAAGGCAGUAUACUGUAGUGUUUAUCCAGUCCUAGAAGACAGUAUACUGUAGUGUUUAUCCAGUCCUAGAAGGCAGUAUACUG